ACCGGCGCACGGGUGAGUAACACGUAUGCAACCUGCCCCUGUCAGGGGGACAACCCGCCGAAAGGCGGGCUAAACCCGCGUACAUGCCACCGGGGCAUCCCGGAGGCAGGAAAGGCUUCGGCCGGACAGGGAUGGGCAUGCGGCGCAUUAGGCAGUAGGCGGGGUAACGGCCCACCUAACCGACGAUGCGUAGGGGUUCUGAGAGGAAGGUCCCCCACACUGGUACUGAGACACGGACCAGACUCCUACGGGAGGCAGCAGUGAGGAAUAUUGGUCAAUGGUCGGGAGACUGAACCAGCCAAGCCGCGUGAGGGAGGAAGGUACAGAGUAUCGUAAACCUCUUUUGUCAGGGAACAAAGACUGGGACGCGUCCCCGGAUGAGUGCACCUGAAGAAAAAGCAUCGGCUAACUCCGUGCCAGCAGCCGCGGUAAUACGGAGGAUGCGAGCGUUAUCCGGAUUUAUUGGGUUUAAAGGGUGCGCGGCGGUCUGUUAAGUCAGCGGUCAAAGCCCGGGGCUCAACCCCGGCCCGCCGUUGAAACUGGCAGUCUCGAGUUGGAGAGAAGUAUGCGGAAUGCGCGGUGUAGCGGUGAAAUGCAUAGAUAUCGCGCAGAACUCCGAUUGCGAAGGCAGCAUGCCGGCUCCACACUGACGCCGAGGCACGAAAGCGUGGGUAUCGAACAGGAUUAGAUACCCUGGUAGUCCACGCAGUAAACGAUGAAUGCUG
Molecule: ribosomal RNA, 725 nt
Filed under: uncultured bacterium
Lineage: Bacteria
Description: bacterial SSU rRNA
Rfam family: Bacterial small subunit ribosomal RNA
Source: RNAcentral